This 336-nucleotide unclassified non-coding RNA is filed under the name soil metagenome. Its description in RNAcentral is "partial contains 5.8S ribosomal RNA, internal transcribed spacer 2, and large subunit ribosomal RNA". The stretch from base 1 to 120 matches the Rfam family "5.8S ribosomal RNA", at positions 35 to 154 of the family's 154-position model. The record is from RNAcentral.
GAUGAAGAACGUAGCGAAAUGCGAUAAGUAAUGUGAAUUGCAGAAUUCAGUGAAUCAUCGAAUCUUUGAACGCACAUUGCGCCCGCCAGUAUUCUGGCGGGCAUGCCUGUUCGAGCGUCAUUUCAACCAUCAAGCCCCCGGGCUUGUGUUGGGGACCUGCGGCUGCCGCAGGCCCUGAAAAGCAGUGGCGGGCUCGCUGUCACACCGAGCGUAGUAGAUUUUAUCUCGCUCAGGGCGUGCUGCGGGUUCCGGCCGUUAAACCACCUUCAUAACCCAAGGUUGACCUCGGAUCAGGUAGGAAGACCCGCUGAACUUAAGCAUACAAUAAGCGGAGGA